GGCUACGUAGCUCAGUUGGUUAGAGCACACUCACUCAUAAUGAUGGGGUCACAGGUUCGAAUCCCGUCGUAGCCACCA
This 78-nucleotide transfer RNA is filed under the name Salmonella enterica subsp. enterica serovar Tennessee. Its description in RNAcentral is "tRNA-Met". It matches the Rfam family "tRNA". Rfam says of the family: Transfer RNA (tRNA) molecules are approximately 80 nucleotides in length. Their secondary structure includes four short double-helical elements and three loops (D, anti-codon, and T loops). Further hydrogen bonds mediate the characteristic L-shaped molecular structure. tRNAs have two regions of fundamental functional importance: the anti-codon, which is responsible for specific mRNA codon recognition, and the 3' end, to which the tRNAs corresponding amino acid is attached (by aminoacyl-tRNA synthetases). tRNAs cope with the degeneracy of the genetic code in two manners: having more than one tRNA (with a specific anti-codon) for a particular amino acid; and 'wobble' base-pairing, i.e. permitting non-standard base-pairing at the 3rd anti-codon position. The record is from RNAcentral. Lineage: Bacteria; Pseudomonadati; Pseudomonadota; Gammaproteobacteria; Enterobacterales; Enterobacteriaceae.